AUGCUAGUUGGAGAAUACCUCCUCUAACGGCAUCUAAGCUGGCUUGGAUAGCAGCUUUGGUCUAGAUCAACUAAGUAAGUGAUUCUACUAUCGAUUUGGUUGGAAGAAUUGCUUUACGUAUGAUGACACAUGCUUAGUGGUCCUACACAUGUAUAUGUGUGAUAUGCUUAAUAUGUGAUGUUAUGAUAUGUGUCGCUAUAUGAUUUGUCAAAUAACAUUACAGCCCAAGGGGUAUGCAAGCUGACCUAAUGAGCCCAUGCUCGCACAUAUGGGUCAUGUGCAGAGAAGUACUUCCUAUCCAAUUUGCCCAAAUUGGAAAAGCUACCUAAGAGAAGACAAUUUUAAAUUAUAGAUCUUAUCAUUCUUUAUGUGUUUACAUUUCUUGACUCAUUCUGCAUGUGGUCACAACCUUUGUUAUUAUUCAUGGGAUCACAACCUUUGUUACUAUUCAUGUGGUCACAACCUUUGUUAUUAUUUUAUUUCAGAUAAAGGCAAGACACUUACUUACCGAGCAUUGUUUAGGCUUCCCUCAAGUGCUCGGCGAAUUUCAAACGUACCAGUACUGUCGACAGCCUCCGUCUGCAACGAGAAAGGGGAAAACAGGGUUGAGGUCAAAAUAAUAUGCAGCAAAAGGAUGAGGGUUCAUGUAUUGGUAAUACUGGGCUAUUAGCAGUAGAAAACAUGAAAAACUCCAAAGAAGAAAUGAAUUAUUUUCUGCAGGA
This is a long non-coding RNA of Cucurbita maxima (winter squash), 722 nucleotides long. RefSeq lists it as uncharacterized. The record is from RefSeq and is a predicted model, not a curated record. Lineage: Eukaryota; Viridiplantae; Streptophyta; Magnoliopsida; Cucurbitales; Cucurbitaceae. The transcript has 3 exons.